This 949-nucleotide long non-coding RNA is filed under the name Homo sapiens (human). RNAcentral's name for it is "HSALNT0020257". The record is from RNAcentral. Lineage: Eukaryota; Metazoa; Chordata; Mammalia; Primates; Hominidae.
CUGUAAGGGAGAAGAUGUCCUCAACCCAACCCACGGCGCUCUGAUGCCCUUUAUCCAGCAAACUGCAGGAACUUACUCUUGAGGAGGACAUUUGUGACUACUUUCGGCCCACCCAGAUCAUCCAGGAUAAUCUUUCUAUUUUAAGGUCAGCAGAUUAACAAUCUUAAUUCCAUCUGCAACCUUAAUUCCUCUUUGCCAUGAAAGGUAAUAUAUUCACAAGUCCCAGAGAUUAGGUUGUAGAAAUCUUUGAGGGUGGAGCAUUAUUCUGUUAAGAGGAAAAUUUAAAAUUUCUGCUCUUGGAAUGAUAUUGUUACAAAAAUAAAAAGCAAGCCGUAGACUGGGAGAAAAGAUUUGCAAAACAUAUAUUAAACAAAAGACUUGUAUCUAGAAAGUAUAAAGAAGCCUUAAAACUCAAUAAGAAGACAAACAACUCAAUUAAAAGAUGGGAAAAGAUUUGAAGAGACAGUUCACCAAAGAAGAUGUAUGGAUGGCAAAUAAGCACAUGAGAAGAUGCUCAGUAUCAUCAGCCAAUAGGCGAAUGCAUUUAAAAUCACAAAGAGAUACUACCACACACCCUAGAACCAGAAAUACCAUUUGACCCAGCCAUCCCAUUACUGGCUAUAUACCCAAAAGAUUAUAAAUCAUUCUACUGUAAAGACACAUGCACACGUAUGUUUAUUGCAGCACUAUUUACAACAGCAAAGACUUGGAACCAACCCAAAUGCCCAUCAAUGAUAGACUGGAUAAAGAAAACAUGGCACAUAUACACCAUGGAAUACUAUGCAGCCGUAAAAAGGAUGAGUUCAUGUCCUUUGCAGGGACAUGGAUGAAGCUGGAAGCCAUCAUUCUCAGCAAACUAACACAGGAACAGAAAACCAAGCACCGCAUGUUCUCAUUCAUAAGUGGGAGUUGAACAAUGAGAACACAUGGAUACAGGGAGGGGAAAAAC